GCUGACGUAGCUCAGUUGGUUAGAGCGUGGGACUCAUAAACCCAAGGUCGGUGGUUCAACUCCACCCGUCAGCACCA
RNAcentral lists this transfer RNA (77 nucleotides) under Candidatus Kaiserbacteria bacterium. RNAcentral describes it as "tRNA-Met". It matches the Rfam family "tRNA". Rfam says of the family: Transfer RNA (tRNA) molecules are approximately 80 nucleotides in length. Their secondary structure includes four short double-helical elements and three loops (D, anti-codon, and T loops). Lineage: Bacteria; Candidatus Kaiseribacteriota. The record is from RNAcentral.